This 79-nucleotide transfer RNA is filed under the name Kiritimatiellia bacterium. RNAcentral describes it as "Kiritimatiellae bacterium (gut metagenome) tRNA-Leu". It matches the Rfam family "tRNA". Rfam says of the family: Transfer RNA (tRNA) molecules are approximately 80 nucleotides in length. Their secondary structure includes four short double-helical elements and three loops (D, anti-codon, and T loops). Lineage: Bacteria; Pseudomonadati; Kiritimatiellota; Kiritimatiellia. The record is from RNAcentral.
GGGCCUGUGAUGCAACUAGGCAGACAUACUGCGUUCAGACCGCAGGUCUUUGGGGGUUCGACUCCCUCCAGGCCCACCA